This 464-nucleotide ribosomal RNA is filed under the name Vreelandella stevensii. RNAcentral describes it as "partial 16S ribosomal RNA". It matches the Rfam family "Bacterial small subunit ribosomal RNA", at positions 338 to 795 of the family's 1533-position model. Lineage: Bacteria; Pseudomonadati; Pseudomonadota; Gammaproteobacteria; Oceanospirillales; Halomonadaceae. The record is from RNAcentral.
CCUACGGGUGGCUGCAGUGGGGAAUAUUGGACAAUGGGCGAAAGCCUGAUCCAGCCAUGCCGCGUGUGUGAAGAAGGCCUUCGGGUUGUAAAGCACUUUCAGUGGGGAAGAAAGCCUUGGGGCUAAUACCCUCGAGGAAGGACAUCACCCACAGAAGAAGCACCGGCUAACUCCGUGCCAGCAGCCGCGGUAAUACGGAGGGUGCGAGCGUUAAUCGGAAUUGCUGGGCGUAAAGCGCGCGUAGGCGGUCUGAUAAGCCGGUUGUGAAAGCCCCGGGCUCAACCUGGGAACGGCAUCCGGAACUGUCAGGCUAGAGUGCAGGAGAGGAAGGUAGAAUUCCCGGUGUAGCGGUGAAAUGCGUAGAGAUCGGGAGGAAUACCAGUGGCGAAGGCGGCCUUCUGGACUGACACUGACGCUGAGGUGCGAAAGCGUGGGUAGCAAACAGGAUUAGAUACCUUGUAGUC